GUAGAAGAAGAAGAAGAAGAUCCGCCAUUGUUAGCUCUGUUUUGAGAUUUACAGUUUUUGAACAUUUGUGGAGCAGAGGUGCACCAUGGCUUGCCACAAUGUCACAAUGGGUUCUUGGAGAGCCGCUGCUGUUGACUUGCUGCAUGUCUCCUCUCUGCGGCAAAACUCCACAAAUACUCCACUCACCAAGUUCCAGAGGGAGAGGAUCACCAGCCACCACCGGCCGUACUAAAGGAAGUGGCUCUAUGUAGGGAUGGAACAUAGCAACUACACCAGCUGGGACACACCUAGCCAACUGAAAGUCAAGCCAAUAGUCCCUGAAUGUUGCCAAGGAGACACACUGCACCACCAAGCCAAGCCAAGCAAGCCACAAUGCAACACAAGCCUUCUACAACACCUACAGCCAUCAGCAACACCCAGAGUACAAGACAACACCUGGAGUCAUGAAGAACAGUUAGGAUGGAUUAGCAGUUUGGAAUGUUUUUCUUUUAAGGACAUUUGAAGACAAGUUUGGCAUGUU
Molecule: long non-coding RNA, 520 nt
Organism: Portunus trituberculatus (swimming crab)
Lineage: Eukaryota; Metazoa; Arthropoda; Malacostraca; Decapoda; Portunidae
Exons: 4
Source: RefSeq, a predicted model, not a curated record